CCUUUGACGUUAGCGGCGGACGGGUGAGUAACACGUGGGUAACCUACCUAUAAGACUGGGAUAACUUCGGGAAACCGGAGCUAAUACCGGAUAAUAUUUCGAACCGCAUGGUUCGAUAGUGAAAGAUGGUUUUGCUAUCACUUAUAGAUGGACCCGCGCCGUAUUAGCUAGUUGGUAAGGUAACGGCUUACCAAGGCGACGAUACGUAGCCGACCUGAGAGGGUGAUCGGCCACACUGGAACUGAGACACGGUCCAGACUCCUACGGGAGGCAGCAGUC
Molecule: ribosomal RNA, 279 nt
Filed under: uncultured Staphylococcus sp.
Lineage: Bacteria; Bacillati; Bacillota; Bacilli; Caryophanales; Staphylococcaceae
Description: partial 16S ribosomal RNA
Rfam family: Bacterial small subunit ribosomal RNA
Source: RNAcentral